This 203-nucleotide unclassified non-coding RNA is filed under the name Hevea brasiliensis (rubber tree). The record is from RNAcentral. Lineage: Eukaryota; Viridiplantae; Streptophyta; Magnoliopsida; Malpighiales; Euphorbiaceae.
AUCACUAUUGAUACUUAGACCAUGAUGUCAAUCAAGAGUUUCUGGGUCCUGUUUAGUUAUUAAACACGCAUUCAACAUCAGCAUGUGAUAUGAGGCAUUUGCAUUUGAGACUUGGAAUAUUUGUCUAACUGGGCAGGCAGCUAUCUGGUUAACUAGUGAAGGAAUUCUAUGUGGAUAGGUCAUAGAUGAUAAAAGGUGAGGCC